GCCCCGGUAAACGGCGGCCGUAACUAUAACGGUCCUAAGGUAGCGAAAUUCCUUGUCGGGUAAGUUCCGACCUGCACGAAUGGCGUAAUGAUGGCCAGGCUGUCUCCACCCGAGACUCAGUGAAAUUGAACUCGCUGUGAAGAUGCAGUGUACCCGCGGCAAGACGGAAAGACCCCGUGAACCUUUACUAUAGCUUGACACUGAACAUUGAGCCUUGAUGUGUAGGAUAGGUGGGAGGCUUUGAAGUGUGGACGCCAGUCUGCAUGGAGCCGACCUUGAAAUACCACCCUUUAAUGUUUGAUGUUCUAACGUUGGCCCGUAAUCCGGGUUGCGGACAGUGUCUGGUGGGUAGUUUGACUGGGGCGGUCUCCUCCUAAAGAGUAACGGAGGAGCACGAAGGUUGGCUAAUCCUGGUCGGACAUCAGGAGGUUAGUGCAAUGGCAUAAGCCAGCUUGACUGCGAGCGUGACGGCGCGAGCAGGUGCGAAAGCAGGUCAUAGUGAUCCGGUGGUUCUGAAUGGAAGGGCCAUCGCUCAACGGAUAAAAGGUACUCCGGGGAUAACAGGCUGAUACCGCCCAAGAGUUCAUAUCGACGGCGGUGUUUGGCACCUCGAUGUCGGCUCAUCACAUCCUGGGGCUGAAGUAGGUCCCAAGGGUAUGGCUGUUCGCCAUUUAAAGUGGUACGCGAGCUGGGUUUAGAACGUCGUGAGACAGUUCGGUCCCUAUCUGCCGUGGGCGCUGGAGAACUGAGGGGGGCUGCUCCUAGUACGAGAGGACCGGAGUGGACGCAUCACUGGUGUUCGGGUUGUCAUGCCAAUGGCACUGCCCGGUAGCUAAAUGCGGAAGAGAUAAGUGCUGAAAGCAUCUAAGCACGAAACUUGCCCCGAGAUGAGUUCUCCCUGACUCCUUGAGGGUCCUGAAGGAACGUUGAAGACGACGACGUUGAUAGGCCGGGUGUGUAAG
RNAcentral lists this ribosomal RNA (962 nucleotides) under Escherichia coli. RNAcentral's name for it is "partial 23S ribosomal RNA". It matches the Rfam family "Bacterial large subunit ribosomal RNA", at positions 1917 to 2873 of the family's 2925-position model. The record is from RNAcentral. Lineage: Bacteria; Pseudomonadati; Pseudomonadota; Gammaproteobacteria; Enterobacterales; Enterobacteriaceae.